Xenia sp. Carnegie-2017 is the source of this 407-nucleotide long non-coding RNA. RefSeq lists it as uncharacterized. The record is from RefSeq and is a predicted model, not a curated record. The transcript has 2 exons. NCBI's taxonomy places the organism in Eukaryota, Metazoa, Cnidaria, Anthozoa, Malacalcyonacea, Xeniidae.
GCUAUCAUUUGAAAUUGAUUAAAGAUAGGAACAAAAGUGAGACAGAUAGCCAGACGUGGUCAGGAGAUGCUUUUGAUUCUAGGGGACACAGUGCAAAUCAUGCAUAUGGAGUCUACACAAUGUGGAACUACACAACAUCAAAGCUGGUACAUUUUGAAUUGCUUCAGGCAUGUUUCCUGACCAUUCUAAAUUCAGCAAAGACGGUCAACAGUCACUACACAAGUCUAUUGACUUGUUGUACCACUUGGAUAUGCUUUCAGAGUAAAGUGGUAAACACAAGCAGGUAAAGGACGACUGCUCUUUCAUACUAUACAUCUACAAAAUCAUCAACCAUCUGUAUGCUCUCAAAUACCUAAAGUAAAUAAGGUUAGACAAAUCAUUGUUGAUAAAACAUUGUUAAUGAGAAA